CCUACGUGGGGCAGCAGUGGGGGAUAUUGCACAAUGGGGGAAACCCUGAUGCAGCGACGCCGCGUGUGGGAAGACGGUCCUCUGGAUUGUAAACCACUGUGCCCAGGGACGAAGAUGACGGUACCUGGGGAGGAAGCUCCGGCUAACUACGUGCCAGCAGCCGCGGUAAUACGUAGGGAGCGAGCGUUGUCCGGAAUUACUGGGUGUAAAGGGAGCGUAGGCGGGGAUGCAAGUUGGGUGUAAAAACUAGCGGCUCAACUGGUAGUCGCACUCAAAACUGGAGCUCUUGAGUGAAGUAGGGGCAGGCGGAAUUCCUAGUGUAGCGGUGAAAUGCGUAGAUAUUAGGAGGAACACCAGUGGCGAAGGCGGCCUGCUGGGCUUUUACUGACGCUGAGGCUCGAAAGUGUGGGGAGCAAACAGGAUUAGAUACCCUGGUAGUC
RNAcentral lists this ribosomal RNA (440 nucleotides) under uncultured bacterium. RNAcentral's name for it is "partial 16S ribosomal RNA". It matches the Rfam family "Bacterial small subunit ribosomal RNA", at positions 338 to 795 of the family's 1533-position model. The record is from RNAcentral.